RNAcentral lists this ribosomal RNA (1010 nucleotides) under Pristimantis petersioides (Sardinayacu's rain frog). RNAcentral's name for it is "partial 16S ribosomal RNA". The stretch from base 144 to 992 matches the Rfam family "Bacterial large subunit ribosomal RNA", at positions 568 to 2044 of the family's 2925-position model. Lineage: Eukaryota; Metazoa; Chordata; Amphibia; Anura; Strabomantidae. The record is from RNAcentral.
AGCCCCCUUCCCCCCCCCCCUCCCCCAAAUUUAAACUAAAAUAUUCUCACAGUCUAGUAAAGAAGAUUAAAAAACUCCCCAGAGCUAUAAAUGUACCGCAAGGGAAAGAUGAAAUAAAAAUUAAAUAAAUCUUAAGCACAAAAAAGUAAAGAUUCUUUCUCGUACCUUUUGCAUCAUGGUUUAGCUAGUCUAAUUAGGCAAAAAGACCUUAAGUCUAACACCCCGAAACUAAGUGAGCUAAUUUAGGGCCGCUUAACGAGCCCACCCGUCUAUGUUGCAAAAUAGUGGGAAGACCCUAAAAUAGAAGUGACAAACCUAACGAACUUAGUAAUAGCUGGUUUCUCAAGAAAAGAAUUUAGUUCAACAUAAAAUAACCCUACAUCCCAUAAUUUACACUCUUAUUUUAAAGCAAUUCAAAUGAGGUACAGCCCAUUUGACACAGGAUUCAACCUUUACUAACGGGUAACACUUGAUUUUCACUUAAAAGUAGGCCUAAAAGCAGCCACCUUUUAAAAAGCGUCAAAGCUUAACUAUGAAAAUCUUAAAUUCUCAGAUCCCUACUGACCCCUUUAACUGUACUGAGAACUUCUAUAAACCUAUAGAACCUUUUCUGCUAAAACUAGUAACAAGAGGUCCCCCUCUCCUUAAUGCAAGCACAACCCAGCAAGAACCAAUCACUGGCAACUAGCAGACAAUAAAUGUAGCAACUUCGCUAGAAAACCCUACUUCCACCUCUGUUAACCUAACACUAGAGCAUUUCAAGAAAGAUUAAAAGAAAGAGAAGGAAUUCCGCAAAUAUAGCCUCGCCUGUUUACCAAAAACAUCGCCUCUUGACCCACCCAUAAGAGGUCCAGCCUGCCCAGUGACUCUGUUCAACGGCCGCGGUAUCCUAACCGUGCAAAGGUAGCGUAAUCACUUGUCUUCUAAAUAAAGACCAGUAUGAAAGGCACCACGAGGGCUAAACUGUCUCCUCUUUCUGAUCAGUGAACCUAAUCCCCCCGUGAAGAAGC